RNAcentral lists this long non-coding RNA (1116 nucleotides) under Fukomys damarensis (Damara mole-rat). RNAcentral's name for it is "lncRNA (ENSFDAG00000022351.1)". The record is from RNAcentral. Lineage: Eukaryota; Metazoa; Chordata; Mammalia; Rodentia; Bathyergidae.
GUUCUGCAGAUGCAGUUGGUGAAAAGGCUCACAGUGGCCCUGAGGUUAAGAAUCGUUGUCUUUUUAAACACCAUUCUGACUAGGCCAUCCUAUCAAAACCCUGCUUGAUCUCAUGCCAGGAGAACUGAAGAUAGCAUUCGCUGAUCUGUACCAGGUGCAGGGCUGGAAGCUGUUCUGCACAGGUGCCCUGGAUCUCUGUGAUUGACAGGUCGCGCCCACUUGCUGAGCUAUUUUGCCACAACCUGAUCUCCUGCCUCACUAGGAUUCAUGCGUGCAGCUUUUACAGGGGGUCCAAGCAGCAGCACAGUCUUCUCUCUGGUGACUGCAGAUCACUAGAGCUUUCUAUGGACUCUGGUUUCUUCAGCUCCUUCCUGCCGGUCUUUAUGUCUUCUGUCCUACCUCGACCUCAAACUUCUGAGGCGUCAGGAGAAGUUUUUCCUCUGCUCUACGACACAGCGCAUCCUGAACAAGGAGCCAAGGAGCCAGGCCCAGGAGCUCCCCAGUCUAGAGGCCAGUGUGGGUAUCAUUAGCACAGCAUUGCACCAUUCUGUGGAAAGAAGGAGUGUGUAACAACUCCCGAGCCCAGAGUCUGGACUCCUUUCACGGCUGCUGAGUUAAGAAGCUAAGAAGAGUGAACUUCAGGCCUUGCCCACCAGCUCUUCUCCAAGUGGCUGCCAGUACCUCUCCAUUCCGCAUGGAAGGCUGAGAGGUGCGAGCUGCAAGUCCAGCGUCCUGUGGCCUGAAUACUGAAGCCACACCUCCCGCUUAUUCAAAAGCUGGUUUUUCAUAGUGGUCAGAUUGACUUUUACAAAUUCAGUUAAUAAACUUUAAAAAUGCACCGUCAUCUUAAACUGACUGACUUGGCCCCCUCGUAUUGGCGUUUAUUAUUCCAUUCCUCAGAAUGUGUUGAAAGAAGGCAAUGUUAAGUUGAAGGCAAUGAUAGUUAAAUGAGACUUCCUGCAGCCUUUUCGUGUAGAAAAAAAACCACUUUUUCGGGACACUGCUUAAUUGACAGGUUUUUUGUUUUGUCUUGUGUUGUUUUGCGGUGCUGAGGCUGGAACUUGGAUCCUUGUGCUUGUAAAGCAGGCUGCGGCACCACUGAGCUAAAUCCCCAGC